GGGUGAGUAACACGUGGGCAACCUGCCCUGCAGAUCGGGAUAACUCCGGGAAACCGGUGCUAAUACCGAAUAGUUUGCGGCCUCUCCUGAGGCUGUACGGAAAGACGGUUUCGGCUGUCACUGCAGGAUGGGCCCGCGGCGCAUUAGCUAGUUGGUGGGGUAAUGGCCUACCAAGGCGACGAUGCGUAACCGACCUGAGAGGGUGAUCGGCCACACUGGGACUGAGACACGGCCCAGACUCCUACGGGAGGCAACAAUAGGGAAUCUUCCGCAAUGGACGAAAGUCUGACGGAGCAACGCCGCGUGAGUGACGAAGGUUUUCGGAUCGUAAAACUCUGUUGUGAGGGAAGAACAAGUACCCAGUAACUACUGGUACCUUGACGGUACCUCACCAGAAAGCCACGGCUAACUACCUGGCAGCAGCCGCGGUAAUACGUAAGUGGCAAGCGUUGUCCGGAAUUAUUGGGCGUAAAGCGCGCCCAGGCCGUUCCUUAAGUCCCAUGUGAAAGC
Molecule: ribosomal RNA, 510 nt
Filed under: Planococcus sp. PF98
Lineage: Bacteria; Bacillati; Bacillota; Bacilli; Caryophanales; Caryophanaceae
Description: bacterial SSU rRNA
Rfam family: Bacterial small subunit ribosomal RNA
Source: RNAcentral